CCGCGCCUGAAGCUAUGGCCGUGGCGCCGUUUCCGCCGCCGCCUCUCCUCGCCUCGCACGCCGCCGUCCGAGCCGCAGCCUCACGCGUCGCCGCAUCCCGGACUAUCCGCGUCGCCGGCGAAGACUCCCACCAGCACCCGCCGCAGGUCGCGGCCCUCCGGCGCGGCGACUGGGUAAAGCUCAUCUGUGGCGCCAGCUUCGAGGAUGCUGCCGAUGUCCGGAAUCUCUCCCUUGUCUACACGCUGGCUGGAGUGGAUUGCAUUGAUUGUGCAGCAGAUAAAUCCGUAGUCAGUGCGGUGAAUGAAGGUAUUGAUGUAGCAGCCUCAAUUGUACCAGAAGUUCAAAGGCCUUGGGUGAUGGUUAGCGUUAAUGAUGAUUGCAGAGAUCUUCAUUUCCGCAAAGCUGAAUUUGAUCCUGAAGAUUGCCCACCGAAUUGCUCAAAGCCAUGUGAGAAAGUUUGUCCUGCUGAUGCAAUAUCACUAAAGAGGGUCAUGGUUGGAGGAGAACAUGCUCAGUCCGAUCCAAUAUGUGAUAAACUCGAGGAUGGUGUCAUUAUGGAACGAUGCUAUGGCUGCGGUAGAUGCUUAUCAGUUUGCCCUUAUGACAGAAUAAGUGCUAUGUCCUAUGUACGAGAUCCUGCCACGACAGCUGAACUGUUGAAAAGGAGUGAUGUUGAUGCAAUAGAAAUACAUACCACUGGAAAGGGAAUCGGUAUGUUUAGUACGCUCUGGAACAGCUUGGGUGAGUCAAUCAAUAAUGUGAAGUUGGUCGCAGUAAGCCUGCCUAAUGCUGGUGCAUCAACAAUUGAUUUCAUGAAUGCAACGUACAUGAUAAUGAAGUCUAAUCUGGAAGGGUAUAAUCUUUGGCAGUUAGAUGGUCGUCCUAUGAGUGGUGACAUCGGUUGAGGUGCAACAAGGGAAACUGUUUCUUUUGCUGUUGAUCUGACUUCAGUACAAGAUAGGCCUCUUGGCUUUUAUCAGCUGGCUGGCGGCACCAACUUAUACACUGUAGAUUGCUUAAAGAAAGCUGGUCUUUUCAAGGCUAGGACUUUACCUGGGACAAGAACUACUGAAAAGGUUGGUUCCCAGGAAGCUCUAAUAGGAGGAAUAGCUUAUGGUGGCUAUGCUCGCAAGAUUGUUGGAAGAGUUCUGCGCAAAAUACCAUCAGAACUUGGGCGCGUACGCAUCGAGGAUCAUCCAGGAUAUCUCCUAGAGGCAUUGCAGGAAGCCUUGUCCUUAGUAGGCCUUGUGAAGGGUUAUUCAGCUCUGGAAACAUGAGUAAAAAUGCCAUCGCUGAGCUCUUUCCCGAUUAACAGGGUGCUGCUGCGUGAUUCGAAUAGAGCUUUCAUAGCUGCAUCCUGUUCUUUCAAGGAGUAUGCCACCGAUGUAGCGUCUAUGGAAGCAGCCGCGGUUCUCGAGGGGCUGUGUCUUGGGGAAGAGCUAGGUAUCUCGACCCUGUCUGUAGAAUAUGAUUCACAAAUUGUCCAAGCAUUCUGGAUCCAUCAAAUUACGGUGCUUCAGAUUAUGACUCUUCGGCAGGGCAACCAUAGAGCAUUGUGACCGGGAAAGCAAUGGCGCAAGCGAACGCACUAGCUUGAGCAAGUUACACAAGGAAAUCCUCGGAUGUGUGGCGAGAGAAACCUCCUGAUUUUCUUAUCCCUUCACUUGUAAUAGAUAUGAUCAUCGUUUAGUAAAGGUUGCCAAAGUUCAAAAAAAAAAAAAUCAGUCAUUCUAUACCUGGUCAUCAACACCCUGUGUAGGAUUAUAGGGCAUAAUUG
Molecule: ribosomal RNA, 1777 nt
Filed under: Triticum aestivum (bread wheat)
Lineage: Eukaryota; Viridiplantae; Streptophyta; Magnoliopsida; Poales; Poaceae
Description: partial small subunit ribosomal RNA
Source: RNAcentral